RNAcentral lists this non-coding RNA (30 nucleotides) under Mus musculus (house mouse). The record is from RNAcentral. Lineage: Eukaryota; Metazoa; Chordata; Mammalia; Rodentia; Muridae.
GUCAUGUGCCUUGGAUCAAGUAUUGGCUGA